CCUACGGGAGGCAGCAGUAGGGAAUCUUCCACAAUGGGCGAAAGCCUGAUGGAGCAACGCCGCGUGAGUGAUGAAGGCCUUCGGGUUGUAAAACUCUGUCAUUCGGGACGAACCGGAGUCUGAGGAAAUGCAGACUCUCUGACGGUACCGGAGGAGGAAGCCCCGGCUAACUACGUGUCAGCAGCCGCGGUAAUACGUAGGGGGCAAGCGUUGUCCGGAUUCACUGGGCGUAAAGCGCGCGCAGGCGGUGAUGUAAGUCUGAGGUGAAAACCCGAAGCUCAACUUCGGGACUGCCUUGGAUACUGCGUCACUUGAGGAUAGGAGAGGCAAGGGGAAUUCCACGUGUAGCGGUGAAAUGCGUAGAGAUGUGGAGGAACACCUGUGGCGAAGGCGCCUUGCUGGCCUAUUUCUGACGCUGAGGCGCGAAAGCGUGGGGAGCAAACAGGAUUAGAUACCCUGGUAGUCCACGCUGUAAACGAUGAGUGCUAGGUGUAGGUGGGCUCAUACCCAUCUGUGCCGAAGCUAACGCAUUAAGCACUCCGCCCUGGGGGAGGUACGGUCGCGAGACGUAGAAACGUACGAAGAGUAGUAGGACGACGAGAGACGCGACGGACGACGACGACGGAGGGGAGGAGG
This 636-nucleotide ribosomal RNA is filed under the name uncultured bacterium. RNAcentral's name for it is "bacterial SSU rRNA". The stretch from base 1 to 544 matches the Rfam family "Bacterial small subunit ribosomal RNA", at positions 338 to 873 of the family's 1533-position model. The record is from RNAcentral.